UUUUUUUUUUUUUAAAUGGCUGCACCCACUCACAUGAAAGUUGCCGGAGCAGGGGUUGAAUCCAAGCCACAGCUGUGACCUGUGCCACAGCUGUGCCAAUGCUGGAUCCUGUAACCCACAGUGCUGGGCUAGGGAGCAAACCCAUGCCUCCACAACAAUCUGAGCAGCUGCAGUUGGAUUCUUAACCUACUGCACCACGAGUGGGAACGCCUUUAUAGGUUCUUUUUAAAGAAGAUGGACAGGUUAAUUAUCUAAGAGCUUGGUAUGGCCUAGUGUUUUUCGAGACCUAUUGCUACCAUGACUCUGCUUAUUAAAUUUAUAAGCAUUAGGUCUAUUAAAAUAUUUUGGGGGGGGGAGCCUCGCCUAUGGCAUGUGAGCCAGGAAUCAAACCUGAGCCACUGCAGCUAUCUGAGCCACAGCAGUGACAACACUGGGUCCUUUACCUGCUGAACCAUCUAUGAAAGUAUACUGAAGCCAUGUUGGAGCAUCAUAUACUCCUCUCCUGUUUCCAGGAAUUAUAGGGUUGUGGUGUUGGGUUUUUGUUAUUGUUGUUGUUGUUGUUACCAAUUGCUAUAUAACAACUCAUUCCAAAAAUAUAGCUUGAAACAACAACCGAAUGGUUAUCGCUCACCGUUCUGCAAUCUGAGUUGGGCUCAGCUGGAUGGUUCUUCUGCUGUUCUUGCUGGUGGUCACUCAUGCGGCUGCAUUAGUUGGCAGAUUGGCUGGAGGCUGGGUUCACCCUGGGACUUGGGGUGGCCAAGCUUCCCUCUCUUUCCCUGUAGUCUCUGUGCCUCUCCCUUCCAAAUGGACUGUCCAUGUGAUUUCUCCAGCAGGGUAGCUGGACUCCUUACACAGUAGUUCAGGGCUCUUCCAACCAUUAAGGCAGGAGUAUCCAGGUCUUCUUUGGCUUAAGGCUGGAACUGGCACAACAGCAUCUGUGCUAUCAUCUACCAAUUAAAGCAGGUCUCGGGCCAACUCAGAUUCAAGAAAGGGUAAGGGUGGGGGCGCCGCAAAGGCAUGAAUACUGAGAGCCAUGAUUCAUUAUGAGCCACCAAAAUGAUGGGCCACCACAAGAGUCUGAACAUUUUUCAAUGGGCAACUACAUCCCCCAUGUCUAACACAAUGCUUGGUUCAUAGCAGGGUCUCAGUAAAUAUCUGUUGAGUGAAUACUCCUGAAGCAUCUGGCUGAUGCGCAUAUAAGCAGCACCACUGGAAUGUAGAAGUUCAGGUUCUGAAGGCAGCGUCUGAGCAGAUACCUGCAAAGUCCCAUGUAGAGCAGCACCAUUUGUUUGUGAUGUGUUGGGGGGUGUUGGGGUCAUUUGCACAUCAGUGAGAUACCACGCUACUUCUCAAAAGGCAUCACCUCUUAUUAUAUCCUUCCUGGGAAUCUAUUCAAAACACACACUAGACAAUAAAUAAAUUGCAGCAUUUACUUUCUGUGGAAACAAAGGGGAAGUUCUUUGAGGAGAGUGGUUAGUGUGGAAGGAGGCCAGAGGUUUCAUUGUUCUAGUUAGUCGAGGAAGACUUCCUGGAAGAGGUGGUUUCAGGAACUCUAUGAAUAAUGGAAGAAGACAGAGGUUGACUGAAGGAUGUUCUGGGCCAGUGAUAGGGCUUUAAAAAAAAAAAAAUCCAAGACAUAAGAAUAAGAUGGAUGAAAGGAGUGAUGAAUAACUGUUUACCAAGAAUGAAGGGCCAAUUUAGGAAGGAAUUUAACAAAACAGGCCAGGCACUACCUGCAAAAGUUUGGCAGUGCCUGCAAUAUUUCUCCAAAGGUUGAGCAUUACUGAGUCUGAGACUCACUGUCACUCCACUGCUCAGCCCCCCCGCCGCCAUCUGUCUUCCCAGUCACUUCUGGAGGGCUUCAGAUCAAGGCACAGAAGUGAACAUGGCUGGAUCUCUCUGGUUCACAGGUAACAGGGCGCAGCAAAGCACAGCCUCAAAGACAUCAUGUUUAAAGGUGGCUUCCAUGGAAAGUAACAUGGAAACCAGGAGGCGGCAACCUGGGAGAGCCCCAGCUCCCUAGAGCUCCAUGCCACAUUGAGGAGAGCAUCCCUGAAGAAGCCAGAGCGCCUUCACAGUCCUCGGGGCUUGCCCCUGCCAGGGAACAUGCUGCGAGGGGCACGGCGAGGUCCCUCAGACCUGUUCUCUGUGGCUCUUCCUUUCAUGAUGAACAUGAUGGGAACCGACCGGGAAGUGGGCAGGGGGCCUUCAUGAUUUUUCCUGCUUGAUCCACCACCCUUGAGUAACCAGCAAAUUCCUGGAACUGCCUUUACCGUUUGUGGCUCUUAUUAGCAACCACACUCUUGAGUCACACAGCCAGUAAUCUUACUGAAUUUUUGCCAUAUGAAUCCUAAGCCAGGCUCCAUGAGGAGGCCCAUACAGUCAGGAGCGAGACGAAGCCCCUCAAGUCAUCCAAUCUCGCUCUCUUGGUAUCAGGAAAGAGAAUGAGUCAGCUAGUUGUUAGGGAGAAUACGCCUGGCUCACAGCCUCUUAGAAGGGUCCAGGGAUACCCCAAAGUGAUCACAUGAUUGGAAAAUCAGACUCCAAUGGCAAAAAGCAAGAGCCUUGAUUGAUUCACUGCAGAGGAGAGCAAGGGGAAGGUGCAGUGGUUCCGUUAGGUCUGUGCAAGACUGUCCGACAGGAGAGAGGCCAGCGACUCUCUGCCACUGCCGGGGAGAGGACAAGAGGAAAUGGGUUUGAAGAACAGCAUGUGGAACCGAAAAUAACCAUGAAGAACUGCUGACCAUCAGCGUUGUUAAUUCCUGGCAUACUGAGGAUGGGUACAGACUCUCCAUAAGGAAAAAAAAAAA
This 2810-nucleotide long non-coding RNA is filed under the name Sus scrofa (pig). RNAcentral's name for it is "lncRNA (ENSSSCG00015040738.1)". Lineage: Eukaryota; Metazoa; Chordata; Mammalia; Artiodactyla; Suidae. The record is from RNAcentral.